This 253-nucleotide ribosomal RNA is filed under the name uncultured bacterium. RNAcentral's name for it is "partial 16S ribosomal RNA". It matches the Rfam family "Bacterial small subunit ribosomal RNA", at positions 524 to 776 of the family's 1533-position model. The record is from RNAcentral.
UACGUAGGGAGCAAGCGUUGUCCGGAAUCAUUGGGCGUAAAGCGCGCGUAGGUGGCCUCGUAAGUCCGCUGUGAAAGUCAAAGGCUCAACCUUUGAAAGCCGGUGGAUACUGUGGGGCUAGAGUACGGAAGAGGCGAGUGGAAUUCCUGGUGUAGCGGUGGAAUGCGCAGAUAUCAGGAGGAACACCAAUGGCGAAGGCAGCACUCUGGGACGUGACUGACGCUGAGACGCGAAAGCGUGGGGAGCAAACAGG